This 454-nucleotide ribosomal RNA is filed under the name Mikrocytid ex copepods HH-2014. RNAcentral's name for it is "partial small subunit ribosomal RNA". It matches the Rfam family "Eukaryotic small subunit ribosomal RNA", at positions 990 to 1464 of the family's 1831-position model. Lineage: Eukaryota; Endomyxa; Ascetosporea; Mikrocytida; Mikrocytiidae. The record is from RNAcentral.
UUGGGGUAUCGAAAACGAUUAGAAACCGUUGUAGUCCCAACCACAAACUUUGCUGACUGGCCUUGUGGCACCUCGCGGCUUCGGCUAGGAGGUGGUGCGGGGCCUAGGCGAAAGCAUAGUCUUCGAGUCACUUGGAGAGUAUGCCCGCAAGAGUGAAACUUAAAAGAGUUGACGGAGUCCCAUACAUGAACUGGAGCUUGCGGUUUAAUUUGAUUCAACACGGGACAACUUACCAGGGCCUCGGCAAGUAUGAGUCGUUCCCAGUCCGCUGGGUGUGGUUGAAAUUCAACGACGAUUUUGCCUGGGGUUGUGCAUGGCCACCCGAGGCUGAUGGAUUGAUCUUUUGGUUAAUUCCGGUAAUCAGCGAGACCCGCGCUGUCAGUUUCGAGCCAAGAGGCGAGUCUGGCAGAACCGCGCUCGCAAGAGUGAGGUAGGACGGUCUAAGGUAGGUCCG